This 253-nucleotide ribosomal RNA is filed under the name uncultured bacterium. RNAcentral describes it as "partial 16S ribosomal RNA". It matches the Rfam family "Bacterial small subunit ribosomal RNA", at positions 524 to 776 of the family's 1533-position model. The record is from RNAcentral.
UACGUAGGGGGCUAGCGUUGUCCGGAAUCAUUGGGCGUAAAGAGCGUGUAGGCGGUCCGGUAAGUCCGCUGUGAAAGUCGGGGGCUCAACCCUCGAAUGCCGGUGGAUACUGUCGGGCUAGAGUGCGGAAGAGGCGAGUGGAAUUCCUGGUGUAGCGGUGAAAUGCGCAGAUAUCAGGAGGAACACCAAUUGCGAAGGCAGCUCGCUGGGACGUGACUGACGCUGAGACGCGAAAGCGUGGGGAGCAAACAGG